Molecule: long non-coding RNA, 1610 nt
Organism: Triplophysa dalaica
Lineage: Eukaryota; Metazoa; Chordata; Actinopteri; Cypriniformes; Nemacheilidae
Exons: 3
Source: RefSeq, a predicted model, not a curated record
GGGGUCCAAAGAACAAUAAGCAUUCUUCAUAAUAUAUUUCAUCAGAACAAAGAAAUUCAUACAGAUUUAGAACAACUCGAAGGUGAGUAAAUGAUGACAGAAUAUUAAUUUUUGGUUGAACUAUCCCUUUAACAUUAUAUUUAACAACGGACACAUCUUGUUUAUAGACGGUUUCAUCGGACGCACGCGCCUGGCCUGGAGUUAACUUACGGUCUGUGUUUGGUUGUAAUAUAACAAUGCAUUUUAUGUGAAAUUUAUAGCAAUAUUUUAUUGUAUAUUAAUUGUAUUUAAAUAACUUAGAACUACUCAACAGUUAUUUAUUUUUUCGGAUGUGUACCGGAAGUUAAAGGGGUCAUAUACCGUAAAUAUGUACUUUUAAGUGUUUUUGGUCUGUUAUAAGUUGCCCAUGCAUGUAUUAGACAGGUAAAAUUGCAAAAAUGUAAGUGUCGGAAGAAAAGAUGCAAUCUAUCUAAAAGCUAGACCUGCCUGAAACGCCUCGUGUAACCACACCCCCACGCAUGUACGUCACUUCGUGGUAUGAUUUGACUAAGACCGCCCAAAUGUAUACGCAAGAAAGGUGGGCGGUCUUUUAAAUCUCAUUGUACCGUCGCGGCACAGGCUGAUUUUCCGAAUAUGGUAAGAGGUGUUUCAUUUCCGUCCAGUAUUCGACCAAUCACUACGCACUAGUGACCUGGCCAAUCAUAGCUCACCUCGCUUUUUUGGACGAUGAGCUUUGUAAAAUAUCAGCGCGUUUCAGAGAGACGGAGCAGCGAGGAGAUACAAAUAUGCACGCUCUCCGGCUCGACAACGAUAAUGAUGUGGGGUCUACAAAGCAGGCGAAGGCUCCCGUCCAUCAUCACAGUAUAAUUAUACAAGGACAUUUUUUUCUCGCUGCAAAACAGAAAAAUGCCUAUGAAGUAAAAUAUGAAAAAUAUGCCAGUCGACCUCUGUCUCAAAAAAGAUCAGCAGUCAUGGGAAAGUCGGUGAUUGAACUUCCUCAGCGAAGCCCCUAAAGUGUGCUAAUUUUCCAAAGUAAAUAUAAGAGAAAAGUAUACAUAGCCUUGCAGAUGUGAAAAUUUCCUUUCAUUCAUGGCCAUCUGGGAUUUAAUGGUCUGUCCCACAGCCACUGUCUUUCAUCCGCUUUGAUAUUUUCUUCCAAAUUCUGACCUUUUCUUUUAAUAAAGGUGGUGUUUUUUUGUCUUUGUAAUAAUAACUGGCACUCUCCAGAAACUGAAGCUAAACGCACGAUUUAAAGAGGAAACGACUGUUUGAUGGCCUUUGGAUGACCUGGAUGUUGGAAUAACAUCAUCUCUCUGUGACCCUUAACCACUGUACCACCUUCAACUGUCCCUCUUUCAAUCCAUCAAGAACAGUGAAAUGGAGUAGGCUAUGUGAGCGACACACAGAGAUUUGCAUCGCCUCCCUCACAGAUGCUCGGGACCAUUAGCGACGCAUUUGAAGAUCCGCGCCAAUUAGUCCCCACAUCCAAGAUGAAAGGCCUGGCCUAAGGCAAAGAACGCCAAGACCCUGUGAAUAGCUGGGAGCUUCACAGAAGCAUAAUUUUGCCAGCUAGAGGGGGAGAGAACCUUGUACUCUAAUUAUGCGCUCAA